CCUACGGGAGGCAGCAGUAGGGAAUCUUCCACAAUGGGCGAAAGCCUGAUGGAGCAACGCCGCGUGGGUGAAGAAGGUCUUCGGAUCGUAAAACCCUGUUGUUAGAGAAGAAAGUGCGUGAGAGUAACUGUUCACGUUUCGACGGUAUCUAACCAGAAAGCCACGGCUAACUACGUGCCAGCAGCCGCGGUAAUACGUAGGUGGCAAGCGUUAUCCGGAUUUAGUGGGCGUAAAGGGAACGCAGGCGGUCUUUUAAGUCUGAUGUGAAAGCCUUCGGCUUAACCGGAGUAGUGCAUUGGAAACGGGGAGACUUGAGUGCAGAAGAGGAGAGUGGAACUCCAUGUGUAGCGGUGAAAUGCGUAGAUAUAUGGAAGAACACCAGUGGCGAAAGCAGCAUACCGGCGCCCAACUGACGCUGAAGCACGAAAGCGUGGGUAUCGAACAGGAUUAGAUACCCUUGUAGUC
RNAcentral lists this ribosomal RNA (465 nucleotides) under uncultured bacterium. RNAcentral's name for it is "partial 16S ribosomal RNA". It matches the Rfam family "Bacterial small subunit ribosomal RNA", at positions 338 to 795 of the family's 1533-position model. The record is from RNAcentral.